Long non-coding RNA from Ictalurus punctatus (channel catfish), 469 nucleotides. The record is from Ensembl. Lineage: Eukaryota; Metazoa; Chordata; Actinopteri; Siluriformes; Ictaluridae.
GUCGGAAUACGGGUGCGGAAAGAAUAACGGUCCCUGAGGACGCUUGCUCUGGCUUGGGCAUGUUAUUGAUCCUUCUCAUGUUUCAGAUUCAAGCUAAAUAAAUGAAAAUAAAUCCAGAUCGUUGACGGGAAACGGAAGAUUAUACGUACAUAUUCACCUUUACGGAACAGUGGGCAGCAGUUCUGCAGCUCCAAACGCCUCGCUGAUGAGAGGGGUCCGAGGAGAACAGCCAGACCCGGUAAAAAAUGACAGGAAGUCCAUAGCAGCUGGAAUAACCACUCUUUACAAGUGCUGAAAAGCAUCUCAGGACACGCCAAACCCUGAGGUGGAUGGGCGACAACAGCAGAAGACCACGUCGGGUGCUACAGUGUGCACAGUAUCACUAAAGCGGCGUCAUCUGCAUCCUCGAGAAUGAGUUCCGAGAGCCGAGCAAGCUGUCGCUCCGGCGUUCUGUGCGCCCAGACGGUCA